Molecule: ribosomal RNA, 230 nt
Filed under: Klebsiella pneumoniae
Lineage: Bacteria; Pseudomonadati; Pseudomonadota; Gammaproteobacteria; Enterobacterales; Enterobacteriaceae
Description: partial 16S ribosomal RNA
Rfam family: Bacterial small subunit ribosomal RNA
Source: RNAcentral
GGUGAUACGUAGGGUGCGAGCGUUGUCCGGAUUUAUUGGGCGUAAAGGGCUCGUAGGUGGUUGAUCGCGUCGGAAGUGUAAUCUUGGGGCUUAACCCUGAGCGUGCUUUUGAUACGGGUUGACUUGAGGAAGGUAGGGGAGAAUGGAAUUCCUGGUGGAGCGGUGGAAUGCGCAGAUAUCAGGAGGAACACCGGUGGCGAAGGCGGUUCUCUGGGCCUUUCCUGACGCUG